GAGACAGCAGUCGCCGCGGGAAUACGAAGGGGGCUAGCGUUGUUCGGAUUUACUGGGCGUAAAGCGCACGUAGGCGGAUCGAUCAGUCAGGGGUGAAAUCCCAGAGCUCAACUCUGGAACUGCCUUUGAUACUGUCGAUCUGGAGUAUGGAAGAGGUGAGUGGAAUUCCGAGUGUAGAGGUGAAAUUCGUAGAUAUCAGGAGGAACACCUGUGGCGAAAGCGGCUCACUGGACUAUAACUGACGCUGAUGCACGAAAGCUAGGGGAGCAAACAGGAUUAGAUACCCGGGUAGUCCCUGUCUCUUAUAC
This 308-nucleotide ribosomal RNA is filed under the name uncultured bacterium. RNAcentral describes it as "partial 16S ribosomal RNA". It matches the Rfam family "Bacterial small subunit ribosomal RNA", at positions 505 to 807 of the family's 1533-position model. The record is from RNAcentral.